UGUCAUUGCAGCUAACAAGGGUACUAGUGGGGUGUGAAGGAAUUGAAAAUUUUGUAUGCAAUACCCUAGUGAACACAUCAUGUAACGAUGAUAUUUCAGAGUCAGAAAGAAUCUGAGAUUUAGCUGUCUCAAACUCUGGAGGGAGACCUGCAAGAAAGCUCAUAAUAUCCAUUUGCUCUCGUUGAGCUUGUUGAGUUUUCACAUCUGUACUAAAGGGCAUCAAUACAUUAAGUUCUUCAUAAACUCUUUUAAAAUCCAUAAAAUAGGAUGUCAAAGUUCUAUCAUUUUUCUCGGCUCGGUAAAACGCCUUACACACAUCAUAAAUACGGGAAAUAUUCCUUUUGCCAGAAUAUAG
This 355-nucleotide long non-coding RNA is filed under the name Manihot esculenta (cassava). Its description in RNAcentral is "long non-coding RNA (MESC_LNC003744)". Lineage: Eukaryota; Viridiplantae; Streptophyta; Magnoliopsida; Malpighiales; Euphorbiaceae. The record is from RNAcentral.